UGAUGUCCCAGGGUCCGUGAAGGCCGCACCGCUGCUGCUAUGGUAACUGCCGCGGCGAGCGCUAACGUUUCUUUUUAAGGUCAAACCAACUUUUACUGGAAGCUUCCAUCAUGGCGUCGACACACAGCGACCCGCUGUCUGUUGAUGAAGCUCCAGGAGGAGCAGGAGAGGAGGAGAAGGCCGAGGGAGAGGAGGAGAAGGCCGCCGAGUGGAGCCGAGGGGCGCAGGUUCCAGUAAAGGUGUUACGGGCUCACAGCGCCGCUGUCACCGCUGCCCGACUCUGCUUCAGUGACAGCUGCGUCCUCAGCUGCUCCUCGGACCACAGGGCCAUCCUCUGGGAUGUGGAGAGCUGCAGACCUCUGAGGGUGUUUGAUGGAGUUCACAGUAGAACCAUCAGUGAGUGUGCUCUGAUCCCAAACAGCAACAGGAUGGUUACAGUCUCCUGGGAUAAGUCCAUUGUGGCAACAGACCUGGAAACAGGACAGACUCUGUGGAGUUCGAGGCCGGCUGGCCUGCUGACCUCCUGCAGCUCUUCGUGUGAUGGCCGCUUGCUGGUUUGUGCUUCAGAUCCACAGAACAGCAUUCACAUCAUGGACGCCUCCAGCGGACAGACGCUGCACCACGUCAGCGAUCAUCACCGCUCCACCAUCACACGUUGUCGGUUCGACCCUCACAACCUGCGAGUGGCCACGGUGUCUGCAGACCGCAGCAUCAAACUGUGGGACCUGCUGGCUCAGAAAACCACCGUGUCCAUCGACAGUAACCACGGCAACGUCAUCUCUGACUGCUGCUUCACCAACAGCGCUCACUUCCUGUGCACGGCAUCGUGGGAUAAGAGUUUAAAGCUGUGGGACCUUCAGACGGGAGGGUUUCGGUCUCAUGGUGGGACGAAGCUGCAGAGAGGGCAUGAAGGCAGCGUGAGCUCCUGCAGCUUCUCUGCUGACGCAAACCUGCUGGCAUCCGGCUCCUAUGACAAGACUGUUGCAGUCUGGGAUGUGUCCCUUCUGUGCCAGACUCUCAUCCUGAAGGGCCACAGUGAUUGGGUGACAGAUGUGUCAGUCAGUGCUGACAGGAAGUUGGUGGCCUCUGCCUCUAAAGACGGGACUGUCCGGCUGUGGAACAUCGAGAACAUGGAGGAAAUCCCAGCAGUCAUGGAGAAGAGGAGGACUGAAGGAACCGGAGUUCACAUCCUGAAGUGUGAGGAGUGUGGAAAGCCGUUCCCCGUGUCCAGACUACAGACCUCAGAGCUGCUGACCCAGUGCGUCUUCUGUCGACUCAAAUCUCCGUCCAGAUACCAACCACAGCCUCCACCUCUCAUGUGACUUCCUGCCCAGGAGGUCAGAGGUCAGCCACAGAACAGCAGCAGGUUGACCAGAGAGAACUCCUGCUGCAGAGUCUGAGUGAGACCUGAACCCCCCGCCGAGUCCUGACGACCUCCAGAGUCCGGAUCUGAGAGCACAGGUGAGACGACAGGUUUUCAGAUGCAGGACCGAGGCUGUGCUGGCUGUCGGGUUCCUGAGACGACAGCGACUUCUCCGUCUCCACCGUGAGGGACAUCCCAUCCAUCAGCUCGUCCACGUCACUGACACACAGCUACACAACAACGUCAACAACA
Molecule: RNA transcript, 1615 nt
Organism: Acanthopagrus latus (yellowfin seabream)
Lineage: Eukaryota; Metazoa; Chordata; Actinopteri; Spariformes; Sparidae
Gene name: WD repeat-containing protein 88-like
Exons: 13
Source: RefSeq, a predicted model, not a curated record